UUCUCGUUUCUUCGGACUUCUCAAUACCCUAUUCGAAACCAUUAAUUGAUUGAAUGGGUGAUCUACAUUGCCGCGACCACCUCCAGCAUCGACGGUUUGGUAUUUUCGAAAGAAGAGGGAAGGGAAAUCAAAGAUUUUCCGUUUCUUCGGACCCUUCAAUUUCAAAAAUGUCAAAUCAAAUCUGACGGCCGAACAGAUCCGUGCCACCGUCAUCAUCUUCACCGACGUCAUCUCCAGCAUCGCCGGUUUAAUAUUUUCGAAAGAAGAGGGGAGGGGAAUCAAAGAUUUUUUGUUUCUUCGGACCUUUCAACAUCUUUCGAAAAUGUCAAAUCAAAUUCGACGGCCGAACAGAUCUGCGCCACCGUCAUCAUCUUUACUGACGUCAUCUCCAGUAUCGCCGAUUUAAUAUUUUCGAAAGAAGAUGGGAGGGGAAUCUUUGAUUCCCCGUUUCUUCGGACCCUUCAACAAUGUCAAAUCAAAUCCGACUGUCGAACAGAUCCGCGCCACCGUCAUCAUCUUCACUGACGCCAUCUCCAGCAUCGCUAGUUUGAUAUUUUCGAAAGAAGAUGGGAGGGGAAUCUUCGAUUCCCCUUUUCUUCGGACCCUUCAACAUCUUUCGAAAAUGUCAAAUCAAAUCCGCUGACCAUUAAGAUCUAUGCCACUGUCAUCAUCUUCACCGCCGUCAUCUCUAAUCUUAUCGGUUCGGUGUUUUCGAAAGAAGAGGGGAGGGGAAUCAAAGAUUCCCCGUUUCUUCGGACCUUUCAAUCCUUUUCGAGAACAUUGAAUCAAUCCACGAAACUUUCAAACCAGUUUAGAUCCAAAUCAAAUUAGGAUCAAUAAGGGAUUUCUUCAGACCCCAAAUCAA
Molecule: long non-coding RNA, 865 nt
Filed under: Ananas comosus (pineapple)
Lineage: Eukaryota; Viridiplantae; Streptophyta; Magnoliopsida; Poales; Bromeliaceae
Description: long non-coding RNA (ACOM_LNC003080)
Source: RNAcentral